UAAAAGCAAGGGGCCAGGAUUGUG
Molecule: non-coding RNA, 24 nt
Filed under: Mus musculus (house mouse)
Lineage: Eukaryota; Metazoa; Chordata; Mammalia; Rodentia; Muridae
Source: RNAcentral